CGGGCUUGAAUUGCAGGAGAACGAUACAGAGAUGUUGAGGUCCUUCGGGACUCCUGUGAAGGUGCUGCAUGGUUGUCGUCAGCUCGUGCCGUGAGGUGUCGGCUUAAGUGCCAUAACGAGCGCAACCCCUCUCCUUAGUUGCCAUCAGGUUAUGCUGGGCACUCUGGGGACACUGCCACCGUAAGGUGUGAGGAAGGUGGGGAUGACGUCAAAUCAGCACGGCCCUUACGUCCGGGGCUACACACGUGUUACAAUGGCCGGUACAGAGCGUUGGUGUCAUGCAAAUGACAUCUAAUCUUUAAAGCCGGUCCCAGUUCGGACUGGGGUCUGCAACCCGACCCCACGAAGCUGGAUUCGCUAGUAAUCGCGCAUCAGCCAUGGCGCGGUGAAUACGUUCCCGGGCC
RNAcentral lists this ribosomal RNA (404 nucleotides) under uncultured bacterium. RNAcentral describes it as "bacterial SSU rRNA". It matches the Rfam family "Bacterial small subunit ribosomal RNA", at positions 976 to 1380 of the family's 1533-position model. The record is from RNAcentral.